GGGAUAGCUAAAUUGGUAGAGCAUGAGACUCUUAAUCUCAGAGCCAUGGGUUCAAGUCCCAAACUGAACG
Podarcis lilfordi (Lilford's wall lizard) is the source of this 70-nucleotide non-coding RNA. NCBI's taxonomy places the organism in Eukaryota, Metazoa, Chordata, Lepidosauria, Squamata, Lacertidae. The record is from the annotation of a GenBank genome assembly.